AAAGCGUGCCUUUCAGGCAUCCUCUCCUAAAACUUUCCAGGGCCGGUCCGAAAGGAUCGGCCUUUUUUCUUGCCGUU
Molecule: small RNA, 77 nt
Filed under: Sphingomonas guangdongensis
Lineage: Bacteria; Pseudomonadati; Pseudomonadota; Alphaproteobacteria; Sphingomonadales; Sphingomonadaceae
Description: suhB
Rfam family: Makes More Granules Regulator RNA (mmgR)
About the family: SuhB later renamed mmgR (makes more granules regulator) was a putative non-coding RNA found multiple times in the Agrobacterium tumefaciens genome and related alpha-proteobacteria.
Source: RNAcentral